This 497-nucleotide ribosomal RNA is filed under the name uncultured bacterium. RNAcentral describes it as "partial 16S ribosomal RNA". It matches the Rfam family "Bacterial small subunit ribosomal RNA", at positions 28 to 507 of the family's 1533-position model. The record is from RNAcentral.
GAUGAACGCUGGCGGCGUGCCUAAUACAUGCAAGUCGAGCGAACAGACGAGGGGCUUGCUCCUCUGACGUUAGCGGCGGACGGGUGAGUAACACGUGGAUAACCUACCUAUAAGACUGGGAUAACUUCGGGAAACCGGAGCUAAUACCGGAUAAUAUAUUGAACCGCAUGGUUCAAUAGUGAAAGACGGUUUUGCUGUCACUUAUAGAUGGAUCCGCGCCGCAUUAGCUAGUUGGUAAGGUAACGGCUUACCAAGGCAACGAUGCGUAGCCGACCUGAGAGGGUGAUCGGCCACACUGGAACUGAGACACGGUCCAGACUCCUAUGGGAGGCAGCAGUAGGGAAUCUUCCGCAAUGGGCGAAAGCUUGACGGAGCAACGCCGCGUGAGUGAUGAAGGUCUUCGGAUCGUAAAACUCUGUUAUUAGGGAAGAACAAAUGUGUAAGUAACUAUGCACGUCUUGACGGUACCUAAUCAGAAAGCCACGGCUAACUACGUG